GACAGAGGUGGCAAGCGUUGUUCGGAUUUACUGGGCUUAAAGGGCGUGUAGGCGUCCUGAUAAGUCAGAUGUGGAAGCCUUGGGCUUAACCCAAGAAUUGCAUUUGAAACUGUCAGGAUUGAGUCGUGCAUGGGAGGGCGGAAUUCCUGGUGUAGCGGUGAAAUGCGUAGAUAUCAGGAGGAAGGCCGGUGGUGAAGAUGGCCCUCUGGGCAAUGACUGACGCUGAGGCGCGAAAGCGUGGGUAG
Molecule: ribosomal RNA, 245 nt
Filed under: uncultured bacterium
Lineage: Bacteria
Description: partial 16S ribosomal RNA
Rfam family: Bacterial small subunit ribosomal RNA
Source: RNAcentral